GGAGUCUGGAAUUCCUGGUGUAGCGGUGAAAUGCGCAGAUAUCAGGAGGAACACCGGUGGCGAAGGCGGGACUCUGGGCUGUAACUGACACUGAGGAGCGAAAGCAUGGGGAGCGAACAGGAUUAGAUACCCUGGUAGUCCAUGCCGUAAACGUUGGGCACUAGGUGUGGGGGACAUUCCACGUUCUCCGCGCCGUAGCUAACGCAUUAAGUGCCCCGCCUGGGGAGUACGGUCGCAAGGCUAAAACUCAAAGGAAUUGACGGGGGCCCGCACAAGCGGCGGAGCAUGCGGAUUAAUUCGAUGCAACGCGAAGAACCUUACCAAGGCUUGACAUACACUGGACCGUUCUGGAAACAGUUCUUCUCUUUGGAGCUGGUGUACAGGUGGUGCAUGGUUGUCGUCAGCUCGUGUCGUGAGAUGUUGGGUUAAGUCCCGCAACGAGCGCAACCCUCGUUCUAUGUUGCCAGCACGUGAUGGUGGGAACUCAUAGGAGACUGCCGGGGUCAACUCGGAGGAAGGUGGGGAUGACGUCAAAUCAUCAUGCCCUUUAUGUCUUGGGCUUCACGCAUGCUACAAUGGCUGGUACAGAGAGAGGCGAACCCGUGAGGGUAAGCGAAUCCCUUAAAGCCAGUCUCAGUUCGGAUCGUAGUCUGCAAUUCGACUACGUGAAGUCGGAGUCGCUAGUAAUCGCAGAUCAGCA
Molecule: ribosomal RNA, 700 nt
Filed under: Brevibacterium sp. STS62
Lineage: Bacteria; Bacillati; Actinomycetota; Actinomycetes; Micrococcales; Brevibacteriaceae
Description: bacterial SSU rRNA
Rfam family: Bacterial small subunit ribosomal RNA
Source: RNAcentral